This 348-nucleotide ribosomal RNA is filed under the name Stephanoprora sp. SAL-2008. Its description in RNAcentral is "SSU rRNA". It matches the Rfam family "Eukaryotic small subunit ribosomal RNA", at positions 71 to 399 of the family's 1831-position model. Lineage: Eukaryota; Metazoa; Platyhelminthes; Trematoda; Plagiorchiida; Echinochasmidae. The record is from RNAcentral.
CCUUUAAACGGUGAAACCGCGAAUGGCUCAUUAAAUCAGCUAUGGUUCCUUAGAUCGUACAUACUACAUGGAUAACUGUAGUAAUUCUAGAGCUAAUACAUGCCACUAUGCCCUGACCCGCGAGGGAACGGGUGGAUUUAUUAGAACAGAACCAACCGGGGGUGGCUUCGGUCAUUCCUGUUGCAUUCUGUGAUGACUCUGGAUAACUUCACUGAUCGCAGUCGGCCUUGUGUCGGCGACGGAUCCUUCAAAUGUCUGCCCUAUCAAUUCACGAUGGUAGGUGACCUGCCUACCAUGGUUCUAACGGGUAACGGGGAAUCAGGGUUCGAUUCCGGAGAGGGAGCCUGA